This 481-nucleotide long non-coding RNA is filed under the name Homo sapiens (human). RNAcentral's name for it is "HSALNT0241759". Lineage: Eukaryota; Metazoa; Chordata; Mammalia; Primates; Hominidae. The record is from RNAcentral.
UGAUUUUCAUUUUACCUUUGUAGGUCAUCUCUUUUUCCUCCUAGAAGUCUUCAAAUGAGAGAGAAUGACUUAUGCAGAGCAAUUGGGAUGCGGGAGCACAAACCAUUUCCUCACCAUUCGCCACUGACUCGUGGUGCUUGUCCUCCCCACCAGACUCCGUCGUUCGCCUGCCUUCUGUGUCUGCCGCUCAGUGAACGUGGAUGUCCUCCAGCUCUGGCUCGCCCUGAGUGAUGGCAUCCUCCUGUGGCUUUAGCUACCGCCCGUGAGAUGAAUCCCAAAUUUAUCUCCACAGCUUAAUCCCUUUUCUCAACCUCUAAGGUUAAGUGUGAGAUUUUUAAAAUCCCUGUUAAUAUCAAGAAUGAAAAAGGAUAAUCACAAAAGAUCCUACAGGCAUUAAAAGAAGUUCAACUUAACAACAAAUUUGACUAUUUGAAUUUGAAUGGACACACUCUUCCAAAUAAAAACCAAAAACUUACCAAAA